Molecule: long non-coding RNA, 540 nt
Organism: Entelurus aequoreus (snake pipefish)
Lineage: Eukaryota; Metazoa; Chordata; Actinopteri; Syngnathiformes; Syngnathidae
Exons: 3
Source: RefSeq, a predicted model, not a curated record
UCACACCCUUUCUGAUCAACAUCCCCAAGAGGUUGGGUGACGUGACGCUGCGAGACUUCAAGGCGGCCGUGGACAGACAAGGCAGCUUCAGAUACCACUUCAAAGCUCUCGACCCGGAGUUCGGCACCGUCAAAGAGGAGGUGUUCCAGGACGGAGCGGUGGUGCCCGGCUGGGAGGGGAAGAUUGUAGCUUGGGUAGAGGAGGACCACGGAGAGAGGAAGUAGAAGCCCCCCCCCACCCCCCCCAAAAAAACCUCAAUUGUGUCUAUGAGAUCAGAACUUGAAUGGAAAUACUCGGGACCAAUGGACUGGAAUAAACGGUUUGAAUGUUUCAUGUCGAGGAAUGCUGGUUAAGACACUGUUUACACCUCAUGAAGGCAAAAGCCAGUUACUGAGCUGAAAGAGUUCCACGAUGAAUAAUAGAGUUGAGAUAAUGGACGGAUGUUCACUGCCAUUUUCCACAAGUUCCUGAUUGCCAAAUAGUGAUGUUUGCCUUUUAGUUUCAACCAAUAUUUAAAUAAACAUGAAUUGUUGCAUGGAU